AAGGGAAGAGAGGAGGGACAAACGGCACCUAACACACACGACGCUGUAGGAGCCAAAAUCAAAACAGCAGGACUACAAUGAAGAGAAGGAAGUUGAUCAGCAUGAGACCUCCACAAGAACACAUGACGACAUGGAUGUAAACACACAGCCUUCUUCUCAGCUGGGCGUCAGAUGCCCCUGUCACUGUCCUGCUGCCAGACGCCUGCCUACUGCCACACUGAUGGAGCUGAGACACAGCGAGGCUGACAAUCAGGGUGACUCACCAGCCCCAAAUGGGAGCUUUAAAGACACCCUUAACCUCUAAAAGUACAGAGAGGAAGAUGGCUGAGGAAAGGCACCUAGAAGAGGAAACAGCUCUUCAAUUCAAUAUCCAUCCAUCCAGCCAUCAAUCCACCUUUCAAAGAUGUGGCCAAGCUAAGACAGGAGGAGAGAUUUGGAUUAUCCAUGACUGAGUCAUUUAAUUCCUCUUGGUCAGAUCGGAUAGCCAUACGAUCUCAAAAAGCUAUGUGCAAAUGCAUCCAAAAAAACAUUCAUGACAGAUUGAAAUCCAAGAAUUCUAAGCAGAUGUUGAAAAGGUUUAAAUGCAUCUGUCUCUCCAAGACACAGACAUUUCUUUACUCCUCUCAAGUGUAACCAAAUGUCCAUUUAAUCAGCAGUAAAGCAAGAAGAUCUCAAUAUAUCCCCCACUAUGAUCAGCACACAUUUGGCUCUUCCACUAAAACUGUAUCCUUUAUCAUUAUAAUGUUUGUUUUUUAUGACUAAAUGCUAAGUCACUCAGGUCAAAGACAGAGCUGUGCAGAUGGCAGUUAGUUUCUUUCAAUAUAAUACAGCUAGCAUGGUCAUGUUUCUCAAAGCCAGGAUGAGUUUCUGUAACAUGAUUGUUUACAUAGGCAAACACAUAGAUGAGAUAUUCUAAAACACCAUCAUAAUUGUGAUAUGAAUGUACAAAAGUGUAAAAAUUGUUAUUGUAACAAAAGACAUUCUCUUUAAAGUUAGAUGGCACUGUAUACACAGGCAACAUGUUGUGGAAAAAGUCCUGAUUUACCAUUUG
This is a long non-coding RNA of Thunnus maccoyii (southern bluefin tuna), 1051 nucleotides long. RefSeq lists it as uncharacterized. Lineage: Eukaryota; Metazoa; Chordata; Actinopteri; Scombriformes; Scombridae. The transcript is spliced from 5 exons. The record is from RefSeq and is a predicted model, not a curated record.